UUAUACGAGGGGAUAACCUUUCGAAAGGGAGACUAAUACCGCAUAACAUUACUUUGAGGCAUCUUGAGGUAAUUAAAUCUUCGGAGGUGUAAGAUGGGCAUGCGUAGCAUUAGCUAGAUGGUGCGGUAACGGCGUACCAUGGCGACGAUGCUUAGGGGUUCUGAGAGGAAGGUCCCCCACACUGGUACUGAGACACGGACCAAACUCCUACGGGAGGCAGCAGUGAGGAAUAUUGGUCAAUGGACGCAAGUCUGAACCAGCCAUGCCGCGUGCAGGAUGACGGCUCUAUGAGUUGUAAACUGUCUUUUGUAUGAGGGUAAAAUUAGGUACGUGUACCUAACUGAAAGUAUCAUACGAAUAAGGAUCGGCUAACUCCGUG
This 379-nucleotide ribosomal RNA is filed under the name uncultured bacterium. RNAcentral describes it as "bacterial SSU rRNA". It matches the Rfam family "Bacterial small subunit ribosomal RNA", at positions 131 to 507 of the family's 1533-position model. The record is from RNAcentral.